CUGUGCACGAUGCUUUUCAACUCUGUCUUCAGGGACUUCAGGAGCACUGCUUAAAACCGGCCUUGGUGAGGAGGGAUUUAUUUCAUUUGCUCCUGAAGUUAAAUCUCAUGAAAUCAUGUGAAAUUCAGUGAUGUGUUACUGGGAACAAAAAGGGUUACGUUAUUAAUUGUGAUGCCUUCCCACAAGAGCUGUGUCUGUACUGUGCCACAUAACCCCUGAAGCUGAAUAAAGAACUUUCUCCUUGAUUCCCCCAGCCCUCCAAAAACAUCAGCAGGUGAUGAGGUCCCAUUGUAAAUGACCCAAGGACAAACAGCUCAUGACUUCAAAGGAGGCCUCUUCAACCCAGGGCAAAUUCAGGCCUUCAUUCCAGGGGUCUGUAAGCAAGUACUGAGUGAAGAGAUAUCCUAAAAUCAAUCGUUCCUCUUUGCCAACCCUGGAUAAUGGCAACAACUUCUUUAGUGGCAUGCUGCAUGCUCUGUUUGGUCAUGUCCAGAGAUACCCAAGAUAAAGAAGUUUGAUAAAUAUACACAUUAACUCAGCAAAAAUAACAUGGUUAUUUUCAUGAAUAUUGCACUUGGGCACAUCAGCAAAAUUCAAAAGUGA
Molecule: long non-coding RNA, 603 nt
Organism: Homo sapiens (human)
Lineage: Eukaryota; Metazoa; Chordata; Mammalia; Primates; Hominidae
Exons: 5
Source: RefSeq, a predicted model, not a curated record